GACGAACCACACGAACGUUAUUCGGAAUUACUGGGCUUAAAGGGUGCGUAGGCUGUGCGGAAAGUUAGGUGUGAAAUCCCCCGGCUCAACCGGGGAAUUGCGCUUAAAACUACCGUGCUAGAGGAAUACAGAGGUGAGCGGAACUUCGGGUGGAGCGGUGAAAUGCGUUGAUAUCCGAAGGAACACCGGUGGCGAAGGCGGCCACCUGGACGGAUACUGACGCUGAGACGCGAAAGCGUGGGGAGCAAACAGG
RNAcentral lists this ribosomal RNA (253 nucleotides) under uncultured bacterium. RNAcentral describes it as "partial 16S ribosomal RNA". It matches the Rfam family "Bacterial small subunit ribosomal RNA", at positions 524 to 776 of the family's 1533-position model. The record is from RNAcentral.